UUUCCGUAGGUGAACCUGCGGAAGGAUCAUUAUCGAAUUUUGAGGGGAUGGAAGAUGAGGAGAGGAGACUGUCGCUGGCUUUCUCGCCUGGGUAGCAUGUGCACGCCUUGCUUUUCGUUGACCUUUCUCUUACUCUCACACCUUUGCACCCAUUGUAGGUCCUCGAAAGAGGAUCUAUGUUUUUAUCAUCACACGCAUCGUAUGUCCAUAGAAUUUAACGUGAUCGUCGAUCGACCUCGCGGUCGGGUGGCGGUCUAAAUAAAUAAAUACAACUUUCAGCAACGGAUCUCUUGGCUCUC
RNAcentral lists this unclassified non-coding RNA (299 nucleotides) under plant metagenome. RNAcentral's name for it is "partial contains small subunit ribosomal RNA, internal transcribed spacer 1, and 5.8S ribosomal RNA". The record is from RNAcentral.